CCUACGGGUGGCAGCAGUGGGGAAUAUUGGGCAAUGGGCGCAAGCCUGACCCAGCGACGCCGCGUGAGGGAAGAAGGCUUUCGGGUUGUAAACUUCUUUUGUCAGGGACGAAGCAAGUGACGGUACCUGACGAAUAAGCCACGACUAACUACGUUCCAGCAGCCGCGGUAAUACGUAGGUGGCAAGCGUUAUCCGUAUUGACGUGGGGUAAAGGGGGUGUAGGCGGGGAAGCAAGUCAGAAGUGAAAACCGCGGGCUCAACCCGUGGACUGCAUUUGAUACUGUUUUUCUGGAGUGCUGGAGAGGCAAUCGGAAUUCCGAGUGUAGCGGUGAAAUGCGUAGAUAUAAGGAGGAACACCAGUGGCGAAGGCGGAUUGCUGGACAGUAACUGACGCUGAGGCGCGAAAGCGUGGGGAGCAAACAGGAUUAGAUACCCCUGUAGUC
This 443-nucleotide ribosomal RNA is filed under the name uncultured bacterium. Its description in RNAcentral is "partial 16S ribosomal RNA". It matches the Rfam family "Bacterial small subunit ribosomal RNA", at positions 338 to 795 of the family's 1533-position model. The record is from RNAcentral.